Long non-coding RNA from Balaenoptera ricei (Rice's whale), 441 nucleotides. RefSeq lists it as uncharacterized. NCBI's taxonomy places the organism in Eukaryota, Metazoa, Chordata, Mammalia, Artiodactyla, Balaenopteridae. The transcript is spliced from 4 exons. The record is from RefSeq and is a predicted model, not a curated record.
AGCAACGCCAUGGACAGCUGGGGACAAAAGUUGCUGUUUCCGAGGAGAAGACAUUUGUUUGCUCCUUUUUUGAAUCUCAUAUCCAGUGUUUUUCUUCACAGGUUUUGCACAGUAGGGACCAGGAAGCCCUCGGGACACUGCCGAGAAAGGACUGCUCGAGGGAAGACCUGUGGGGAUCAUGGGAUCUAUUCCAGAGGAAACUAACCAACAAUGAACAACUUCUACUAAAACUACCCCUGGAUGUGAUGGUUGCAUGCAUCAUUCCUUUAAUUGAGCAGAGUUAACUGGAUCAAAUUAUUUAUGGGAGAGAGAGGGAAAGCUAUACAGAAUUACAAUAAUUUUAUAUUUCCACCAAUAUACUCUUUACUGAUUGUAUCUGCCCAUGAGCAAAGGAAACCUGAAGGAACCAAGGGCCUGGCUGGACGGAGUUGUCAUGUGUCU